Microcebus murinus (gray mouse lemur) is the source of this 3530-nucleotide non-coding RNA. Lineage: Eukaryota; Metazoa; Chordata; Mammalia; Primates; Cheirogaleidae. The record is from RefSeq and is a predicted model, not a curated record.
AGAAAUUUAAGCAGUCACGAAGGGGUCUACUUUUCUCCCUCUUCUACUAAAAUCUCAUUUUUAUUACUUCCCUGAAAUAGUCACUUUAAGUCACAUAUAAAAACAAAACGAAACACCAAAUAUUACUGGAAGUUCUAAGGGAGUGGGCGUGAUUCACGGAGAACUGGUGGCAGCAGUGACAAGGCCUCACUUGCAUCUGGAGGUCGGGGAUCCAUAGAGCUCUUCCUAACCGUGUUUAUACACUUUCUCUGCUACAGCUCAUCGGCGGAUAUUCCAUUCUGAGCCCCACACAGGACAAGGUUUAUGUGAUUUUUUUCCUUCCUCUCGGGAAAGAUUCCUCCCUGCCUCUUGGAGCUUAGCAGCAGCUAAGAAAUGUGACCCCAAGGUCACAUGUAGAUUAAAACCUGGUAAACCUGAUGGGCUUGCUACAGCAUGACUGUGAGGGAAACUGUGACAGCUGUGGCUUGCUGUUUCCCCAUGGGGGUGGGUCACAGGAGGUCCUAACAAGAAGCAAAUCCGUGUCAAGAGGCUUUGUGGCACUAAUUCCUGGGGUUUGGGAGCCUGGGCAGAGUGGGUGUCAAGAGUCUCUGGCUACUGGGUCGCUUGGGGGCUACCCUCAGGAUCAGGAUGGAGAGGGGGAAGCAGGCAGGAGCAGGGCGCUCCCCAGGCAGCCACGAAUUGGCUUGCUCCUUUCAGAUUUCUCUUAAGAAGCAGCUUUCCGUUUCUGUUCUGUGGCCUCUGAGGGGGUUUCCUGAAUGAACCUUCUCUAAGCUUUCCUGAGGGACCGUUUCUGAGGGCUGGUGGGGGAAUUUCCCCCCUUUGACCGAACUGUUGCCUAAAGAGAUUUACUGCUGAUCUUCAUGUGGGGAUUUUCUCACUGGCAUUUUGCUACUUCCUGUUUCCCAAGAGGCUCUGCUCUCUGGGAACUGAAGUCAUCAAGAGAUGGGCACAAACAUCCUUUGGGAGAAAGGAAGGGCGGGUGUACUUAACACAGAGGUGCUUUUCUUCCCCUCCUCUAGUUCUUUGACACCGUGAUAACGGAUUUGAAGAUCUGGCCCAGGGAUCUUGCUGAGAGCUUCAGAUUGAUUAUACUCACCAUUCCACAGGAAUUUGAGUUGUAUAGCAUAAUUACAAAUCACAUAAGGACUGGUGUAUUAGACUCUCUCUCCUGUAUUGGGGAUGGAUAGAAUCUCUUAUACUGAAAGAAACCACUGAAGAAAUCAUCACUCCUUUUACCUAAUGAUAAUGCACUACCAUUUCCUGAGUGCUUCCUGUGUGGCACGCAUGGUGCUGGGGCUUUGCACACAUUUCUCAUUUGAUCCCAGCAACAUUCUGGAAAAGUAGGCCUUAUGAAGACCCAUUUAACAGAUGAGGAAACCAAGGCUCUAAGGGGCUCUGAGAGGUUAGCUUACAGCCAAAUUUUCCCUGCUGGUGUUAAUGGAGCUCCAAUUCUAUGGGAUCCCAAAGCCUAUGCUCAUAUGUAUUCAGCUAUAAAUUUAUAUAAAAUUUGGGAUUUGAUUCAUGAGUCUUUUAGGUGCUAUUGGCAGCAGAGUAGUAGGAAAGACCCUAGAAAGAAGCAGGAUCUUCUUCUCCCACCACCCAAACCGGGGGGUGGAAAUACUUUAGGGAGCAGUAUUGACAGUCCUUAGCUUAGCUCUGUGUACUGGCAGGCAUUUUUACUGUGUCACCUGGAAAAAGUUGCUGACCUGGGAAGUGACAGGAGUGAAUAUAUAAAAGAAACAUCAAUCAAACCAAUUCAAUAGUUGUUACAGAACUCUUCCAUCGUUUAACCACUGCCAACAUCUUGUUACUUCCUACCCUGGCUUUGCACAUUUUACCAAAGUUCUUAAAAAGAAUCUCCCUGGGGACAGGUCCCAGGAUCUCUGUAGCCCUGCUCUGUGGCAGUUUGCAUCCAGGGAAAAUAAUGUCCUAAGCAUUGCCCUACCUCCUUGACUCUUGAUUGUUUUUGAACGGGAUUAGUGUCUGUGUGUGCCUGUGUGCGUGUGUAUGUGUGUUCUUGUGGUAUGAGGUUCUCAUGGGGAUAGAUUGUUAACCACAAUCGACCUUUGCAAAGUUCUCCAAGUAUUUUCGGUUCCAGCAGAGAAGCACUCAGCCUGUGUGAGUGUGCUGCAGGCAGCACUGGGUGGCGUGUGGCCACUUCUGGGAGCUCCUGAGCAAAGCGAGCUGCGUCAGCAGCAGUGGCACCCCCUUGCCCACUGCACACUUUGCGGCAGCUCUUCUCCCAGGGUCUGUCUGGGAGGGCUCCUGACUGUAUCCUCUUCAUCCAGACAGUGAACUCUGAUAGCUACCAACUGUUGAGAGUUUACUAGUUGUCAAAUGAUUUUCCUGCAUUUACUCACUAGAUCUCCACCUGUAAAGGUGUGUUGGCCUGGCUGGUCCCGGAACUUCUCCUACUUGCAGGUGGCCAGGGCCUGAGCACAUGGCUCUCCCUGCACUGCCUCUUCUGCUGCACGGAGGCCUGGUUGCCCCACAGUAGCUGGCGCCCUGUGGGAGCGUGAGGCCCCGCAUCCUUCUGACGUUCUGUCUUUCCAGACCCUUCUUCAUGAGGGCUGUCACCUCCUAGACACCACCCUUUGCUGUGCCUGCCCCCACAGUGCCAGGUGGACCCAGGAGGGCGAGCCCUCCCCUUCAUUGGCAUUUUCUGGGUCAUCACAGUCUUCAGUGGUCCCAAAGCUAGUGCUCUUGAUCAUUCUGCUGUAACACAGUUGGAAAAUUGCUCACACAGCAAUGAGUUUUCUUCAUAGUAUUUUAAUCUUAUAGGUGUUUCCCCUGAACACUCGCAAGACUGGCCUUUUCCAAGCCACCGAUGACCUACACCUUUCUAAGCCCAUCGGUCAGACCUCAGGCCACAUCUUAGAUUACCUGGACCUAGAAUGGCCUUACAUCUCUGAGAUCCAGAUUGAACGCUAUUAAAUGUGUUGCUGAUUCUAAAAUAAAAUUGCAAAUCAGGUUUGGAGUUUGAUGGAAAAGACUGAGAAGGCACAGGAAAGGCGUUGCCCGGAACAGCUGGCACACCCUUGGCAAUGAGGCUUAGUUCUGCUGGAACUUUUCAGGUUCUGGCCUGCCCAGCUGAACCAACUCUGUCCAGGACAGGCUGCUGAAGAGUAACUGCACAAGUGUUGGCUAGUGACAACCGGGAUUCAUGUUCCUGUCUCCUAAGCUUGAGAUUCUGGGAGGCUGGAGAAGCACCGGGUUGCAGACAGCAGCUUCCUCUUACCCUCUUCCAACAGAGAUUCCGGUGCCCACAUGAUGAAGUUCCGGUGUAGUUUCCUGGUUUGCACAGACAUUCCUCCUGAGACUAGAGUUCUGUAUUAAACACCAUCCUGCCUGGAUGGGGCUAUGACACCUCCCUAUCCCUCGGAGGCAGUGUGGCAAAGAGCAAUGGUGGGAUGCCAACAAUUUUUGCAUAUCUGCAUCCCACCUGUAGAGACUUACUUACUUAUAUUUUUCUUUAAAUGGUCUCAAUUUUAAAAUUUAAAUAUCUUAAUUUUUUUUUUUAAAAAGUACAC